This 116-nucleotide ribosomal RNA is filed under the name Pteropus alecto (black flying fox). Lineage: Eukaryota; Metazoa; Chordata; Mammalia; Chiroptera; Pteropodidae. The record is from RNAcentral.
GUCUACAGCCAUGCCACCCUGAACAAGCCCAAUGUCUGAUUUCAAAAGCUAAGCAGGGUCAGGCAUGGUUAGUACUUGGAUGGGAGACUACCUAGGAAGACCAGGUGCUGUAGGCA